Long non-coding RNA from Anolis carolinensis (green anole), 8497 nucleotides. RefSeq lists it as uncharacterized. The transcript is spliced from 2 exons. Lineage: Eukaryota; Metazoa; Chordata; Lepidosauria; Squamata; Anolidae. The record is from RefSeq and is a predicted model, not a curated record.
GGUUGUUGAGAAAAAACAGAGGCUGUGCUGUGGUUUUUAGUUUAUUAUUAAUUGUAUUUUUCAGUGAAAUAGAACCGGUGGCCUUUCUUGGGAGCCCCUUCCCCCUCGCCGCCCCCUCGCCGCCUGCCCGGCAACAGGUUCCCAAGCAAACAUUUCCUUCCUGCUUGGCUGAGUGGAGGCCCGGCUCUGAUUUCAUCUCAUUAGUGGGAACCGUCCACCACUGGUGAGCGCAGCCGGAACUGGUUGCCAUGGAGACGCCUGUUUAUUGAGCUCCUGAGAUAUGAGCCACUUUCUCUAUGAAUAAGACAACUGGGAAGAAACAGACUUGGUCAAUAUGUUCACUGAAGAUACACAGCCUAUUGUCUGUUGGUCACUAUAUAGUCUUCUUAGGUCACUUGAAGGUACUGUAACAAAGUGUCAGUGUAACCAGGGGACAGAAGCUAUGAAAUUGAUUUUUAUAUAUACUUGCUGAGAGACAGUGUGAUGGUUGGAGAGUUUAUCUCAUGCAAGAAAACACAUUUAUUAUCGACUGCGUGAAUAUUUUUUAAAAGAUGUGAGAAAAUUGAGUUGAGAUUCUUCUGAGAUUGGGAUUGGUUUAUUCAUUUUUCAAGAAGAGAAGGUAAACAAUCAAGUUCUACUUGAACAACGUAAUUACAAAAUAAACAAUACAGAAUUUUCCAAGAUUCAUUAGGCUGCUGUAUAGAAUUUGGGGGCAGAAACUUCAUAUGGCAUCCUCACAACAAUACAAUGGAACAUUCCUGUUUGCUGGUGAUCAAGAUGAUAACCAUAGGAAGAUAAAAUACAUUUUUAAAUGGUUAGUGAGCCACUUUAUUAUAGGCUAAGAACAAUAUUGGUUUCCAUGUCUAUCACCUUUGAAGAAAGCAAUGUGCUGCAAAGCUUUAGCACUCUCACUCACAGCCAUUAGUCAGAGAUCACUGUUUUUCGUGGGAGAUAAGCAGAGCCAGCCUUGGGGAUAUGAGAUGGGUAUUCCUCCUGGGCACUGACCUGAAAGGUCCUGAGCUGAGUUUGGAGUCAAUCGUGCAAUUUACUUCAUGUGUUCUCAGAUACAAAAAGAUCUGUUGCACUUUCUGGCAGAAUGCAGAAAAUGCAGUUCUGCUCAAGUCCCUUUUUCUUUAAUCAUUUCUUUCAAGAGUUACCAGGACAGGAGCAUCUCUGAAAUUGUACACCCAAAAUCUUUGAGGUGGAGUGCCUGGUAAUGUCAUACUGAUGGGCGUAGGAUAUGGUGGUUUCAUUAAGCACAGCAAGUCAAAACAUAAAAUAUACCAGUCUAACAAAAGAGACACAGGAGGUAGGGAAAAAGAAGAGUCCUCUGGAGAGUCUACAGCAGCCAAUGCAAAGGAGCCUGAACCAAUGGGAGCCAUUUAAAAAUAGAAUGGAAAACAAACUUUUUUUCCCAAAACAGCUCUGUUCCCCUGAGAUUCCAAUUCCUGAGAUUUACUAUUUGAAUAAAAAAAUAUUUGGAGCUUCUGUUCUGGGGUUUAUCCCCAUAUAGCUAUGGGAUGAGAGGCCUUUGGAUCCUGCAGAUUGGGAGUCUCAUUUUGCUCAGACCAUGCUCCCAGUCUCCUUUCUCUAGCAGCCCAGCUCCAAAAAAGGAGGGAUGUUGGAAUUACCAUAUGGGUGGGUGGGGUGCAUUACAUUCUCAACCCAUUUGUUAGACACAAUGAGGUUGCUACCUUAACCAAUGGAGCCUAAGUAGUGCUGCAGCACAUGCCAUUUUUCUCUCCCACAACAGAAGGGCCUCUGACACGACUGGUCUGGAUCCGGAGCAGACACAAAUGCCUGGUUCUGCGAAUUUCUUUCUUUUUCUUUUUUUUUUUGAACCAGGCAUUGUGGGCAGGCUGCCUUGGAUGAUUUCCCUGGGCAAUCUGUUCACGAUACUUGGCCAGUUCCUUGAAGGAUAGUACUGGCCACUUUAUGAACCUGGUGCUGCCCUCCACAGAGCCCAUCUACUUGUUCCCUUUAUCAGUUUCAGAAAGUGGACAAUUGUUUCAGCAGAAAUAAGAGAUGGGUGCAUAUAGCAAUGAAGGGUCCAUGGCUUUUCUUUGGUCAGUUUUGCAGUCCUUCCCACCCAACUUGGCACCUCAGCUUCUCACCCUGGCCCUGAGGUAAACUGAGGCAGGAAAAAAAAACACUUAGUGGGGGGCAAUGAUGGUCCAGACAUACCAGUGGUGCUUUUUCUGCAUCCUAAUUCUUUCACACACUAUGUGUGCCUUGAUUGAUAGCAUGCCAGGAGCUGGUGUGCUUGAGGGCAUUUCCUAUCCAGACAGGCAGCAACUCAUUAGAGUUGUUUCAAUUCAUACAGGUGUGACUGCCAUGAGGAACGAACACAAUCAGUUUCUUUACAGAUCCAAGGGAGAGCUUGGAAGGUGUUUCCUGGUUCCAUUGCUCAUUAGGAUUGUCUUCUUUUGCUGGCCAGGUGCUGCAACACUUAUCACUGUGAAGAGAUAAAGAGGCCAUAGCAAAAUAUUAUCCUUUUCUUCCUUAUCAUAGAACCUGGCAAGAGGGACCUGUCAAGUUAUCCUUGUUUAUGUGACUGUUUUUGGAUCCUAAUGUGAAGCACAAAUUGUUUGCUCUUCAUGUCUAUAUAUCAAAAGCCAUUUUAAUCCAGUGACUGUCUCUUAAGGAUUCAAUUCUUCUUCCAAACUUAUACUCUUCCUCAGGUAGAAAAUGCUUUAAUGGUACUUGAGUCCACAGCUUCCACACUCAUAAACAUGAUAGAAUGGGGAACUUCUCAAUUUAAAAUUUUCCCCUACAUCUAGUAUGUAUAUAGUGAAAUAGAAUAAUAGAAGCAUAGAGUUGGAAGAGGCCACAUGGGCCAUCAAGUCCAACCUCCUGCCAUGCAGGAAAGGCACAAUAAAAAUACUUUUAAUCAUCAACCAAAUCAGACUUAAACAAAAGGAAAGAAGUGUUUAUCCUUUUCCAAGAAGCAAACAUUUUGCAUCAUCCCAAUUGCCAGCAAUUAGUGAAGGUUCCAUGAAAAAAGGUGUAACAGAAAGGUUUCUAUAUGGAAGCAUAUAUUAUGGGGUGAUAAUCCUGUGAAGCCUUGGGUAAACGCUCACCAGCCUCAAAGUAUUGCUAUUGGUACUAUUGGCUUUCAGUCAUGACAAAACAAUCUUUGUAUUUCAAAAUAGGGAACCUCUUUUAGCCUGAGAAUCCAGUUCAGUUUCAGAGAGAUUUUUGGUUUUGCAUUGUAUUAGUGCACCAUAGGUGUAGCUACAGGAAGGAGUCAAAUGAGGGUAUUGAGUCAAAUGAGCGCGGCUUGUGGGGACGAGGGAGCGGGCCUUCUCCAUGGUGGCCCCUUGGCUCUGGAACUCCCUCCUCAGGGAGAUCAGGCAGGCACCCACCGUGGCAGCCUUCAAGAAAGAUCUGAAAACCUGGCUCUUCCAGAAUAAUAAUAAUAAUAAUAAUAAUAAUAAUAAUAAUAAUAAUAAUAAUAAUAAUAAUAAUAAUUUUAUUCUUGUAUCCCGCCCCAUCUCCCCGUAGGGACUCGGGCGGCUCACAUGGGGCCUUGCCCAACAUCACAAUAUAAAAACAAAUCAAAACACAUAAAUUUACAACAAUAAAUCAACAAUAUCAGUAAAACCAUCAUAAAAACAAUAUUGCAGGAAAAAGCGUUAAAAACAGAUAUAAAACACAAGUCUAGCCCAAAGGGUGAAUGUGUCAAAUUGGGAGGAGGUAGUUACGUAAUUGUAAGUACUAGAAAUGACAAUAAUGACAAUAAGAAGGUGAAUCAGUGGGUCUAUUAUUAUGUAGGCAGACAACUUGAACCAACAGUAUGCUUUCAACAACUGAUCAUAAGAAUUAUCUCCUCAGCAUUGAUAAUAUUGGGCCUAAUGUAUUGUUCUUUCUGCCCUUAUUUGGUAAUUACUCUCCUUGUUUAUCCCACCUUGAAUUCUCCUUUUUACUACAGCACCUUUAUCUACCUCUUUAGAUUCUAAUCAUGCACUUUUUGCACUACUGCCCAGCCUUUUUAUUAUCUUAACCUGUUGCAUUGUUUUAUUCUGGCAGUUUUACUUACCAUUAUAUUGUUGUUAAAUGUUGACCUGUGUAAUGUUAAAUGUUAAUGUUUUUAUUGUGAAUGAAUUUUUAUUUUGUUAUUGUGGAAAUCUGGACUUGGCCCCAUGUUAGCCGCCCCGAGACCCCGUGGGGAGAUGGAGGUGGGGUAUAAAAAUAAAGUGAUUGUUAUUAUUAUUAUUAUUAUUAUUAUUAUUAUUAUUAUUAUUAUUAUUAUUAUUAUUAUUAUUGCCCCCUGUGAGAGUGUCACAUCUUUGUUUCCAAUGAAAAAACCUCUUCCUAUCCCACUAUUGUGGCCACCAACUGUGACAAUCUUGAAGAUAUGCUCAUGGCAUAUAUGGAAAUAGAAGGUAUUCUAAAAUCCAAAGCACUUCUGGUCCCAAGCAUUUCAGAUAAGGAAUACUCAAUAGGUAUAACUCUAGGCCCCUUCCACACAGCUGAAUAAAAUCCCACAUUAUCUGCUUUAAACUGGAAUAUAUGGCAGUGUGGACUCAGAUAACCCAGUUCAAAGCAGAUAUUGUGGGAUUUUCUGGCUAUGUGGAAGGCCCCCCAGACUCACGUCUAGCAUUUCUUAUUCUCGCACACACACUCAUAUUCUAACUCUGAUUCUAACUCUGACCCGGAUUAAUUUUCCUAACCUCUCAAACUCCUGAACAUUCACUCAACUUUCUCUAAUUAGGUAUGAUAUACACCUUUCUUUAAAAAAAUCCCCAGUCAAUCCCAACAUUUGGUACUCUCAUCUCUCUCAACAGAUCCUUUCCUUAUUGCAUCUACUAUAUAUUGCAUACAUGAACAAUAAGAAAUGAAUUACCCCCAAAGUCCAUAACAUCACAUACCCCAGUAAGAAUUCUACUUCUGCCAUGACAUUUUCUUUCAGUUGGCAAACAUCUAGCAUUACAAUUACCCGAAACUUAAGUUGAGGGUUUAGAAACAUAGGUCUCAAAAUAAAAGAGGCAGGCAAUGGAAAACAAUAAAUGUUGGAUAAGUCCAAUGUCUAAAUCUUCAGUGGUAGAAAGUGAUGAGAACUGGUGGAAAAUUUAAUGGGGAACAGAAUUUUUAUGGGAGACAAUGUCCUCAUUUUGCCCUGCUAUAGCUACACCCCUCAGUUAGUGGGGAAAUAAAUGUGUUUGUGUGUGUGCUUUCAAGUUCAUUCCAAUUUAUGGCAAUACUAAAGUGAACUUAUAAUGGACUUUUCUUGACAAGAUUUGUUCAGACAGGAUUUGUCUUUGCCUUCUUCUAAGGCUGAGAGAGCAUGCCUUACUGAGGUUAUCUGCUGGCUUCCAUUACCAAAUGAGGUUUUAAACCAAUGCUCAAAUCACAGCAGCACACUUUAGUGUAAACUUCUAUUGCCAGACCAAUGCAGUAGAUCUCAACUUGUGGGUCUCCAGGUAUUUUGGUCUACAACUCCCAGAAAUCCCAGCCAGUUUAUCAGCUGUUAAGAUUUUUGGGUGUUGAAGGCCAAAAUAUUUGGGGACCCACAGCUUGAGAAUCACUGUUUUAGUGUAAAACCUGUAACUGAGACUUACUUGUGACCUUUUAGACGGUAGGGGGUGCUGGGAAACUUCUUAACACUGGGUCAAUGGGAGGUUUGUUAUUAUUUUAACUGCUGCCAUGUUGACUUUGAUCUAAAGUGACCCUAUGAGAGACAGAUCGGAAUCCCAGGAGAGACAGUUUCAGGGCCCGAGGUCCCACAUCCCUCUGCAAUAUUUUGCAGUAUUACAAACACCCAUACAUUUUGAAACAUAUAGAUUGCAUGUGGUGAUCAAGCGUCAGUUUUUUCUUUCUGUUAUCAACAAUAAACAGCAGUUUCCUGGCUUGUGUACACACAAUAAAACAAACAACAACAAAGCUCUAUACAUGAGGCUGUUUGCUUCAUUUCACAUGGAAGAAGGUUCCAAUGUGUGUUUCCUUCCAUGGAUAUGAAGAGACAUGCACACAUGAGUUGCCCUCCUCAGACCUGUGAGAAAUCUGCCAGCCUUGUUUUCCCCACGAUGCCACUAACAUCCUUAUCUUUCCCAGUCCUGCACUUAGUUGUAAUACUUUGUCUCUCUUCUUCCAUAGAAAUGUAAGUGUGCAUUUUGCACAGAUUUUAAAUAUUUACUUUUGCAUAUAUUUCAUCUCAUUGACAAUUUUAAUGCAUUUUUAAUUGACUAAGGUUGUGCACAUUUUUCAGAUACAGGAUUUUUUGUUUGUUUGAUGUGUGCAUUUUACAAAUAAAUGCAUAGUUUUUAUGUAUUUCUCUUUUGCCUGAAGCUGUUGGAUUUCCAGACAAUAUGCACUUUAUCCUGUCACUAAUCUCAGGAAGCACAAAAUGGAUAGUCCCUAUGAAAAUGUGAACUCAACAAAUUUCUUUUAUAUCCCUGUCUUCAAGCCAGCAUCUGGAUCUGUACUCCAACUGUUCUCUUCUAAAAGGAGAAAUCCUGUCAAUUAACUCUUUGGAAGCAGAGGCAGGGGAAUGGAAUUGAGUCUACAAAAUAAGAAAUAUACUGAAGUUUCUUUUAAACUGCCUUUUAAAUGGUCUUGUUAACAAUUCUGUCAGAAGCAUUCAAAAACCAAAUUUGGAAAAUACAAUUUAAUCAGUAUGUUGUGAAAUGUAUAAAAUUUGGGCACAUUAUCUCCCUUCCCAAACACAAAUGUAACUUGCAUUGAUAUUUUGAAAGAGUGCUUAUGGGGUGUAGAACUGGAACCAAAUCUCACAUUAUUGUUAUAUUUUUCUGAACUGACUCUGACUUAUAGUGAACCUGUUGUUAAUUUCCAUAAAGUCAGUUUCAACUCAUGGUGACCUAUGAACCCCAAGAUACUCUGUUAUCAAUAGCCCUGCUGCUCAGGUCUUGCAGACUCAGGGCUGAGCUUUCCUUGAUUGAGUUUAUCUACUUGUAACAGAGUCUUCCUCUUUUCCUACUGCCUUCUACCUUAUCAAGCAUUUUUGUCUUUUCUGUUGAGUCAUUUUUCCUUAAGGUAUGGUUAAAGUACAACAGCCUCAGUUUAGUUAUCUUGGCUUUUAGCAGUCCAAGGUAUUUAUUGGACUCUUCUACGUUACCACAUAUCAAAUGAGUUGAUUUUCUUCCCAUCAGUUUUGUUCACUGUGCAGUUUUCACAACCAUACAUAGAAAUUGGAAAUAUAAUGGCACUGACAAUUUUGACCUUGGUAUUCAAUUAUACGGAUAUCUUUACACUUCAGGAUUCAAGAAGGAUACUGACAAGCUGGAACAUGUCCAAAGAGCAACGAAAAUGAAAGACAAGCUCUAUGAGGAGAUGCUUAGGAAGUUGAGUGUGUUUAGCAUCAACAUGAUGAGAGAAGACAUGAUAGUCAUGUUUAAAUAUUUGAAAGGUUGUCACGUUGAGAAGGGGGAAAACAUGUUUCAUUCUGCUCUUGAGAAUAUGGAGCAGUGGACUCAAAUGAUUCUAUGUUAUCUAGUUCUUUCACAGCUUCUUUUCCAAGACCCAGUCUUCUGAUUUAUUGACUGUAGUCUCCAUUCUGAUGAAUGGUUGAGUCAAAGAAUGGAAAAUAUGGAAUCAUUUCUUCACUCUCUAAAAUUAGGUAAAUAAUAUGUAGUUGUUAUUUUUGCUUUUUAAAUGUUCAACUGUAUGCCUACCGGUUCACAUAUGAUGUGUUCAGUGUACAAGUUAAACAGAAAGGGUGAUAAGAUGCAGCCUUGCCUCACCCCCUUGCCAAUUGGAAAUCAUCCAUUUCUCCAUUUUCUGUCCUGGUAGUAGCCUCUUAUCCUGAGUACAGCUUAAGUAUCAGGGCAAUUAAAUGCUUUGGCACACCUAUUUUUUAAAAGUGAAGCAAAGUUUCUCAUGGUUUACACAAAGACAUUACUAUAAUCUAUAAAGCAUGGUUUCCUUCUUUUUUUUGAUGCAGUCCGUUAUCUAAUGUAGGAUUGCCUUAUGGUCCCUAGUGCCUCUUACUUUUCUGAACUCAGCUUGGAUAUUUGACAUUUCUCUCGCCAUAUAUGGUAUAUGUCUUUGAUAUACAAUUUUGGGCAUCAUUUUACUUGCAUGGGAGAUUAAUGCAAUGGUCCUGUGAUUAGUGCAAUCUCUGGCAUCUCUUUUCUUGGAUAUUGGAAUGUAUAGUGAGCAGUUCCAAUCUAUGGGCCAAUAUCUUGUCUUCUAGAUUUGUUGAUAGCAUUCAGUUUAAACGUGUGCCAAAGAAUAUACAAAACUGCUUGACAGUUUGAUGUUUACCAUUGACAGAGAGCUAGCAGCUCCUAUUUGUGAUAUAUGGGAGAUAGUGCCUGCUUGAGUUUUUUUAAAAUGGCUGUUUUGUUUAGUAAUGCUUAGCUCUAUUGUGACAAAUAAAUGAUAUGAUUUUGACUUAGAGCUCUAUAGCUCUAUAUUCUAAAUACAGAGCUUUAUACAUUUACUCUUAAAUUUUUAUAUAUAUUGUCAUUGUUGUAAGAUACCUUGAGGUUUAAAAAAAGAUUUUUAAGAAGCACAAUAAACCAUUUAUAUAAAUACA